This 209-nucleotide ribosomal RNA is filed under the name Aplanochytrium stocchinoi. Its description in RNAcentral is "partial Bacterial large subunit ribosomal RNA". It matches the Rfam family "Bacterial large subunit ribosomal RNA", at positions 1598 to 1791 of the family's 2925-position model. The record is from RNAcentral. Lineage: Eukaryota; Bigyra; Thraustochytrida; Thraustochytriidae.
UAUCAUGCUUCCAAGAAAAGCUCCUAAGCUUCAGAUAACUGGGAACCGUACCCCAAACCGACACAGGUGGUUAGGUAGAGAAUACCAAGGCGCUUGAGAGAACUCGGGUGAAGGAACUAGGCAAAAUGGCACCGUAACUUCGGGAGAAGGUGCGCCGGUGAGGGUGAAGGACUUGCUCCGUAAGCUCAUGCCGGUCGAAGAUACCAGGC